CCUACGGGAGACAGCAGUGAGGAAUAUUGGUCAAUGGACGAGAGUCUGAACCAGCCAAGUAGCGUGAAGGAUGACUGCCCUAUGGGUUGUAAACUUCUUUUAUAUGGGAAUAAAAUGUUCCACGUGUGGGAUUUUGUAUGUAUCAUAUGAAUAAGGAUCGGCUAACUCCGUGCCAGCAGCCGCGGCAAUACGGAGGAUCCGAGCGUUAUCCGGAUUUAUUGGGUUUAAAGGGAGCGUAGGUGGAAUGUUAAGUCAGUUGUGAAAGUUUGCGGCUCAACCGUAAAAUUGCAGUUGAAACUGGCAGUCUUGAGUACAGUAGAGGUGGGCGGAAUUCGUGGUGUAGCGGUGAAAUGCUUAGAUAUCACGAAGAACUCCGAUUGCGAAGGCAGUUCACUGGACUGCAACUGACACUGAGGCUCGAAAGUGUGGGUAUCAAACAGGAUUAGAUACCCUAGUAGUC
RNAcentral lists this ribosomal RNA (460 nucleotides) under uncultured bacterium. Its description in RNAcentral is "partial 16S ribosomal RNA". It matches the Rfam family "Bacterial small subunit ribosomal RNA", at positions 338 to 795 of the family's 1533-position model. The record is from RNAcentral.